GGCGUGCCUAAUACAUGCAAGUCGAACGAACUCUGGUAUUGAUUGGUGCUUGCAUCAUGAUUUACAUUUGAGUGAGUGGCGAACUGGUGAGUAACACGUGGGAAACCUGCCCAGAAGCGGGGGAUAACACCUGGAAACAGAUGCUAAUACCGCAUAACAACUUGGACCGCAUGGUCCGAGUUUGAAAGAUGGCUUCGGCUAUCACUUUUGGAUGGUCCCGCGGCGUAUUAGCUAGAUGGUGGGGUAACGGCUCACCAUGGCAAUGAUACGUAGCCGACCUGAGAGGGUAAUCGGCCACAUUGGGACUGAGACAC
RNAcentral lists this ribosomal RNA (314 nucleotides) under Dietzia sp. 111N12-1. RNAcentral describes it as "bacterial SSU rRNA". It matches the Rfam family "Bacterial small subunit ribosomal RNA", at positions 41 to 327 of the family's 1533-position model. The record is from RNAcentral. Lineage: Bacteria; Bacillati; Actinomycetota; Actinomycetes; Mycobacteriales; Dietziaceae.